ACCUGGUUGAUUCUGCCAGUAGCAUACGCUUGUCUCAAAGAUUAAGCCAUGCAUGUCUAAGUAUAAACAAAUCUAUACGUGAAACUGCGAAUGGCUCAUUAUAUCAGUUAUAGUUUAUUUGAUGGUUCUUGCUACUUGGAUAACCGUAGUAAUUCUAGAGCUAAUACAUGC
Molecule: ribosomal RNA, 171 nt
Filed under: uncultured eukaryote
Lineage: Eukaryota
Description: partial Eukaryotic small subunit ribosomal RNA
Rfam family: Eukaryotic small subunit ribosomal RNA
Source: RNAcentral